CGGGACACCGGACACCGGGACACCAGGACACCGGGACACUGGGACACGGGACACCGGGACACCGGGACACCGACCCCGCUCCAGUCGCGGGAGAGGCGUUCGGAAGCAGAGGGAGAAGCAGAAGUUUUAACCAUCUUCCCAUGGCAUCUGACUUGUUUGAGGAAGGAGAAUGCACCCAAGAGCAGAAGCAGUGAGGUUCACAGUGGGGAAAAUGAACCCAGCAGUCCAUCCUAUCCCAUACCUGCCUGAGUACGGGAAGAGGCCUCAUACAAGCCAGAAUGCAUCUGGGCUUGCAGCUCUUUUUAAUCAUAUUAAGUCCUAUUCAGAGUUAAUGGUGAGCUCAUUGAGAUAAGAUGGUCUCAGCAAUGCUGAAGGAGGGAUGAAGAGAAUUGGAAGGCAGAGCUAUUUCAAAACAGGAUUCUUCUUCUUUCCAUAACGCCCAAACAUGAAGACUUUUAAACUUCAUUAGAUCCUGCCAUCAAUGACUGAGCCUCCCUGAAAUCUUCUUAUCAGUUACUGCCAAGAUGAGAAGGAUAACAGGAAGGAGGAGUGCUUAAGUGGCUUUAAUGACAGUUAAUUUCAUCUAUUUAUCAAAUGACAGGUUGUUUUUUCCUCAAAACUCGAUUGUCAUGACAAGAUGCUUUUGCAAGUCGUCUUUGUAAAAUAAAACUGACAAUUUUUAGGCUACAAAGAGCUAUUGUAUCUUUCUAUACAAUGUUGUCAUUAUGGUAAACCUCUGGAAAGUCUUUAUUUUUGAAGUAAUUUAACUUGCAUACUUCAUUCAUUUAUUUGAAUGUCUGUUGAAUGCUAUGUGAAAAGUUUCUUGCCAGAGUUCUUUUAUUCAAUGGAAUAGUUAUUCUUACAAUGCUCAAUUUAUUAUUGUCUAAAUUACUGUUGCCUUAGCCCCCUGCAAAAAUGUUUCUUUUUGGUAAUUCUUAAACAAAUAAGGAAUGAAUGAGGUUUUGUCCCUGUCGUGUUUUGAUCAGCAUAUUUUGCCUUUCAGUAAAAGUGUCUUCAGUUUUCAAAAUGACACAAAGAAAGGUGCUUUCCUAUUCCCCCCCAACAGAACAUCUUUUGUGCAAUAAUUUUUUUAAUAUGUACACUGCCAAGAUGCAAUUACUGGAA
Lepidothrix coronata (blue-crowned manakin) is the source of this 1125-nucleotide long non-coding RNA. RefSeq lists it as uncharacterized. The transcript has 5 exons. NCBI's taxonomy places the organism in Eukaryota, Metazoa, Chordata, Aves, Passeriformes, Pipridae. The record is from RefSeq and is a predicted model, not a curated record.